CCUACGGGAGGCAGCAGUGGGGAAUAUUGGACAAUGGGGGCAACCCUGAUCCAGCCAUGCCGCGUGUGUGAAGAAGGCCCUCGGGUUGUAAAGCACUUUCAGUGAGGAAGAACGCCUGGUGGUUAAUACCCAUCAGGAAAGACAUCACUCACAGAAGAAGCACCGGCUAACUCCGUGCCAGCAGCCGCGGUAAUACGGAGGGUGCGAGCGUUAAUCGGAAUUACUGGGCGUAAAGCGCGCGUAGGUGGCUUGAUAAGCCGGUUGUGAAAGCCCCGGGCUCAACCUGGGAACGGCAUCCGGAACUGUCAAGCUAGAGUGCAGGAGAGGAAGGUAGAAUUCCCGGUGUAGCGGUGAAAUGCGUAGAGAUCGGGAGGAAUACCAGUGGCGAAGGCGGCCUUCUGGACUGACACUGACACUGAGGUGCGAAAGCGUGGGUAGCAAACAGGAUUAGAUACCAUAGUAGUC
This 465-nucleotide ribosomal RNA is filed under the name Vreelandella stevensii. Its description in RNAcentral is "partial 16S ribosomal RNA". It matches the Rfam family "Bacterial small subunit ribosomal RNA", at positions 338 to 795 of the family's 1533-position model. The record is from RNAcentral. Lineage: Bacteria; Pseudomonadati; Pseudomonadota; Gammaproteobacteria; Oceanospirillales; Halomonadaceae.